CGCGUAAAUUACCCAAUCCUAAUACGGGGAGGUAGUGACAGAAAUAUUGAUAUUGGACCCAAAGGGUACAAUGAUUGAAAUGAGAACAAUAUAAAAAACUUAACGACUAACAAUUGGAGGGCAAGUCUGGUGCCAGCAGCCGCGGUAAUUCCAGCUCCAAGAGUGUAUAUUAAAAGUUGUUGCGGUUAAAAAGCUCGUAGUUGAAUUUCUGAAAAUAAUCUUCGUGAUUGAUUUAACCGUCAUGAACAAAAUUGUUUACAUACUUGAUAGAUGGAAACAUUUAUCUUAAUGACUUUGAAAAAAUUAGAGUGUUCAAAGCAUGAUUCACAUUUGAAUAAUACAGCAUGGGAUAAUAUAAUAUGACAUUAGUUAAAAUUUGUUGGUUUCUUUGGCUAAUGUAAUGAUUAAAAGGG
This 413-nucleotide ribosomal RNA is filed under the name uncultured eukaryote. Its description in RNAcentral is "bacterial SSU rRNA". It matches the Rfam family "Eukaryotic small subunit ribosomal RNA", at positions 433 to 877 of the family's 1831-position model. The record is from RNAcentral.